AUAUACAUCAGAAAUGCCAUUUUCGAGACCCUUUUCAGUUUUUAUGUUUCUCCCAUUUCUGAUCAUGAAUCGAAGGAGUUGAUUGUUCAGAUAGUGAGGAAGUCCGUCAGAAUACCUAAGAUGGCCAGGUACUUGGUUGAACAGUGUGGCUUGAUCUCAUGGUCAUCCUGUGCUGUUUCAUCUCUUUCUUGGAGUCAAUGCAGAAGAAAUUCAUUUGUUGAGUUGACUGUUAUACUGGAGGCCCUAAAUGAAGUCGUUUUGUCGAGACACACUGUUGAGUGGAUGCAGAAAUAUGCCUUGGAGCAGCUUGUGGAACUCUCUUGCAAUCUGUACAAGAUGCUAAUUGAAGGUGUUGAAAGGCUUAAAGUAAAUAGUCAACUUGUUAAACUGAUUCUACAAAUAUUGAGAUCAGCAUUGAGGAUAUCCCAAAAGAGGAAAGUUUAUCAACCACAUUUCA
RNAcentral lists this unclassified non-coding RNA (457 nucleotides) under Hevea brasiliensis (rubber tree). Lineage: Eukaryota; Viridiplantae; Streptophyta; Magnoliopsida; Malpighiales; Euphorbiaceae. The record is from RNAcentral.